CAUGAAUUGUCCUGGAGGCAGCGCUGCUUUUAGUGCCUUUGCUAGGAGGGUCUCCUGGAUGUAAACUCUGUCUGGCCCUAGCCCCCCAACAGGAUGUGGGCAGCCUGCAUCUCCGCUGGACUGGAGCCAAAAUGCCAAAGCACAGCACCUUCGAGUUCCAUGCCUCCAGAAGGGCUUGUCCCUGCGCACUGGGAUGGUGCUUGUUUGCAAGAGUCAAGAAUUCCAGAGAAAAUGAUAUUCUUGGAGCUGCUGGUAUCCUUCGAGCUUCGUAUGACUUUGAAAGAAAAAAAAUACCCACUUAAUCCUGAGUGCCUCCAAAUCAUAUUUGCUGAUAAACCCUGGAUUUAAGUUGUAAACAAAUUAAAGAUUAAAAACUUUCCUUUGGCA
This 387-nucleotide long non-coding RNA is filed under the name Homo sapiens (human). Its description in RNAcentral is "HSALNT0287065". Lineage: Eukaryota; Metazoa; Chordata; Mammalia; Primates; Hominidae. The record is from RNAcentral.